This 253-nucleotide ribosomal RNA is filed under the name uncultured bacterium. RNAcentral's name for it is "partial 16S ribosomal RNA". It matches the Rfam family "Bacterial small subunit ribosomal RNA", at positions 524 to 776 of the family's 1533-position model. The record is from RNAcentral.
UACGUAGGGUGCGAGCGUUGUCCGGAAUUAUUGGGCGUAAAGGGCUCGUAGGCGGUCUGUUGCGUCAGGAGUGAAAACUCGGGGCUUAACCCCGAGCCUGCUUCUGAUACGGGCAGACUAGAGGUAUGCAGGGGAGAACGGAAUUCCUGGUGUAGCGGUGAAAUGCGUAGAUAUCUGGAGGAAUACCGGUGGCGAAGGCGGCAUCCUGGACCAUUACUGACGCUGAGGCGCGAAAGCUAGGGGAGCAAACGGG